AGCUGGUCUGAAGAUACUGAGUUACCACAACUGAUUGUUCACAGUUACAGGCUGAACUGUUCUACUCUUUCCCUUUUUCUCACUGUUGCACUUGACUAGUCGCUUUU
This 107-nucleotide Y RNA is filed under the name Sapajus apella (tufted capuchin). RNAcentral's name for it is "Cebus apella (Tufted capuchin) Y RNA". It matches the Rfam family "Y RNA". Rfam says of the family: Y RNAs are components of the Ro ribonucleoprotein particle (Ro RNP), in association with Ro60 and La proteins. The Y RNAs and Ro60 and La proteins are well conserved, but the function of the Ro RNP is not known. In humans the RNA component can be one of four small RNAs -- hY1, hY3, hY4 and hY5. Lineage: Eukaryota; Metazoa; Chordata; Mammalia; Primates; Cebidae. The record is from Rfam by way of RNAcentral. RNAcentral also lists the same sequence under 1 other name.